Non-coding RNA from Schistosoma mansoni, 45 nucleotides. The record is from Rfam. Lineage: Eukaryota; Metazoa; Platyhelminthes; Trematoda; Strigeidida; Schistosomatidae.
AUCCAGCUGAUAAAUCCCAAAUGGGAUGAAACGCGCGUCCUGGAU